CCUACGGGAGGCAGCAGUGGGGAAUAUUGCACAAUGGGGGAAACCCUGAUGCAGCGACGCCGCGUGAGUGAAGAAGUAAUUCGGUAUGUAAAGCUCUAUCAGCAGGGAAGAAAAUGACGGUACCUGAGUAAGAAGCCCCGGCUAACGACGUGCCAGCAGCCGCGGUAAUACGUAGGGGGCAAGCGUUAUCCGGAUUUACUGGGUGUAAAGGGAGCGUAGACGGCAGUGCAAGUCUGGAGUGAAAGGCGGGGGCUCAACCCCCGGACUGCUCUGGAAACUGUACGGCUGGAGUGCAGGAGAGGUAAGUGGAAUUCCUAGUGUAGCGGUGAAAUGCGUAGAUAUUAGGAGGAACACCAGUGGCGAAGGCGGCUUACUGGACUGUACCUGACGUUGAGGCUCGACAGCGUGGGGAGCAAACAGGAUUAGAUACCCGGGUAGUC
This 440-nucleotide ribosomal RNA is filed under the name uncultured bacterium. Its description in RNAcentral is "partial 16S ribosomal RNA". It matches the Rfam family "Bacterial small subunit ribosomal RNA", at positions 338 to 795 of the family's 1533-position model. The record is from RNAcentral.